UACGAAGGGGGCUAGCGUUGCUCGGAAUUACUGGGCGUAAAGGGCGCGUAGGCGGCCAGCACAAGUCAGUUGUGAAAUCUCCGAGCUUAACUCGGAAAGGUCAACUGAUACUGUGCGGCUAGAGUGCAGAAGGGGCAACUGGAAUUCUUGGUGUAGCGGUGAAAUGCGUAGAUAUCAAGAGGAACACCUGCGGCGAAGGCGGGUUGCUGGGCUGACACUGACGCUGAGGCGCGAAAGCUAGGGGAGCGAACGGG
RNAcentral lists this ribosomal RNA (254 nucleotides) under uncultured bacterium. RNAcentral describes it as "partial 16S ribosomal RNA". It matches the Rfam family "Bacterial small subunit ribosomal RNA", at positions 524 to 776 of the family's 1533-position model. The record is from RNAcentral.